RNAcentral lists this ribosomal RNA (84 nucleotides) under Desmodesmus tropicus. RNAcentral describes it as "partial 5.8S ribosomal RNA". It matches the Rfam family "5.8S ribosomal RNA", at positions 70 to 153 of the family's 154-position model. Rfam says of the family: 5.8S ribosomal RNA (5.8S rRNA) is a component of the large subunit of the eukaryotic ribosome. It is transcribed by RNA polymerase I as part of the 45S precursor that also contains 18S and 28S rRNA. Functionally, it is thought that 5.8S rRNA may be involved in ribosome translocation. Lineage: Eukaryota; Viridiplantae; Chlorophyta; Chlorophyceae; Sphaeropleales; Scenedesmaceae. The record is from RNAcentral.
AAUUGCAGAAUUCCGUGAACCAUCGAAUCUUUGAACGCAUAUUGCGCUCGACUCCUCGGAGAAGAGCAUGUCUGCCUCAGCGUC